UCAUGCUGUGAAAGUAAUAACUGCCCUCUCAUUGUCUGAAUCUGAAUAGGGGAACCAGCCUCCAAGUCCAGCCCCCUUCUUCAGGGAAACUUUGCUUCUCACUGUGCUUCAAGAUGACCUUUGGCUGCAAACAAAAAUGCAUUAUGACUGAAUUCAACAACUCUUAAGAGAUGGACAGAGGAGCUUGAGUCAGGAUCGUGGGGUUCAAAUGGCUACAAUUCCCAAAGAUGUUAAUAACAAAGUUUAAAAAGUGAUGAGCUAGCUCAGAGCAACUAUGAGCUGAUCCAGAAAUGAAGACCCAUCAAGCAGCCACAGAAACAGACAGAAGCCGAAGGCAGACCCACACCUUCCCUCUAGCUUCUGCUGCUGGGGACCCAGAAAGUCUGGCAAAGGGAAACAAGGUGUGGAAAAACAAGAGAAGAAAGCUGUUGUACUUCUACCUGUCUCCACAAGGACCCCACCUGUACACAGGAAAGAUGGA
Molecule: long non-coding RNA, 481 nt
Organism: Cebus imitator (Panamanian white-faced capuchin)
Lineage: Eukaryota; Metazoa; Chordata; Mammalia; Primates; Cebidae
Exons: 4
Source: RefSeq, a predicted model, not a curated record